Molecule: ribosomal RNA, 465 nt
Filed under: uncultured bacterium
Lineage: Bacteria
Description: partial 16S ribosomal RNA
Rfam family: Bacterial small subunit ribosomal RNA
Source: RNAcentral
GACGAACGCUGGCGGCGUGCUUAACACAUGCAAGUCGAACGGAAAGGCCCUGCUUGCAGGGUACUCGAGUGGCGAACGGGUGAGUAACACGUGGGUGAUCUGCCCUGCACUUCGGGAUAAGCUUGGGAAACUGGGUCUAAUACCGGAUAGGAACCAUCUUUAGUGUGGUGGUUGGAAAGUUUUUUCGGUGUAGGAUGAGCUCGCGGCCUAUCAGCUUGUUGGUGGGGUAAUGGCCUACCAAGGCGGCGACGGGUAGCCGGCCUGAGAGGGUGUACGGCCACAUUGGGACUGAGAUACGGCCCAGACUCCUACGGGAGGCAGCAGUGGUGAAUAUUGCACAAUGGGCGCAAGCCUGAUGCAGCGACGCCGCGUGGGGGAUGAAGGCCUUCGGGUUGUAAACUCCUUUCGCUAGGGACGAAGCUUUUUGUGACGGUACCUAGAUAAGAAGCACCGGCUAACUACGUG